CCAAAGCUGGCGACCGGCGCACGGGUGAGUAACACGUAUCCAACCUGCCGAUAACUCCGGAAUAGCCUUUCGAAAGAAAGAUUAAUACCGGAUGGCAUACGAAUAUCGCAUGAUAUUUUUAUUUAAAGAAUUUCGGUUAUCGAUGGGGAUGCGUUCCAUUAGUUUGUUGGCGGGGUAACGGCCCACCAAGACUACGAUGGAUAGGGGUUCUGAGAGGAAGGUCCCCCACAUUGGAACUGAGACACGGUCCAAACUCCUACGGGAGGCAGCAUG
RNAcentral lists this ribosomal RNA (273 nucleotides) under uncultured bacterium. Its description in RNAcentral is "partial 16S ribosomal RNA". It matches the Rfam family "Bacterial small subunit ribosomal RNA", at positions 82 to 353 of the family's 1533-position model. The record is from RNAcentral.